GUAAUUUGGAAGAGUGAAAAGGAG
Molecule: non-coding RNA, 24 nt
Filed under: Arabidopsis thaliana (thale cress)
Lineage: Eukaryota; Viridiplantae; Streptophyta; Magnoliopsida; Brassicales; Brassicaceae
Source: RNAcentral